AUUUUCUAUUCCUUGGUGAAGUAUUGUUUUCUAAGUAUGAUCGCCAAGCAGUCCAUGGUUGCUAAUGGAAUUUUUUUCGCUCUAAGGACCAGUGUUCGAGUCCUUUCUGUGUUGAUUCUGUCAAGCUCUAGGCUGAGUUUGGGUUUUGUUUGUUUGUUUGGUUUGUCAUUACUUUAAUUUGUUUUUAAUGUGUAUGUAUGUUUUGCCUGUAUAUUUGUUUGUAUACCACAUGUGUGCCUGUGGUGCCCAGGGAGGUCAGAAAAAGUGUGUCGGAUAACCCGCCCCCCUCCACCCCCCGGAACUGGGGUUCAGAGCAAUUGGAAAUGGAACCCAGGCCCUCUGCCAGAGCUCUCACCCUCUCUGUUGUUGAUAACAAGGUAGCCCAGAGUGUUGCACAGUCAUGUGCAAAUGCUGGCAGCACUUUCCUUGUGACAAACAGCAUUUGUCACUGAAGUACUCUACAGCCAUUGAAUAAUGGAGACUCAGCCCACCCUCCUGGGUAGAACUGGAUGAAAGGGCAUUUCUGUCAACGUAGUUCAUCAGGAAGGUUGUUUGUUUAGGUUUUCCCUGUAUACAUCUUUGUACUUCGUGUUAAAGCUCAGAGGCUUCAUUUUGAGACAUGUUCAGAGUGGAAUAUCUAAUUUGAAGCCAUCCAUAAAGAGAUUACAUUAAUCUGGAGUCUUAGUGUAGCACAGGGGUUGGGUCUGUGUCUCUGUCACAGUUUAAAAGGAAUUCACCUCAAGAUGUGACUAGUUGGGCAGGAUUGACUAAGGGCCCUCUGGGAAAAGGAACCCCAGGAGUAUCAGUUUCAGGGUGUGACUUGGUCCUCCUAGUGGACAUCAGCUCUUUGGUGGAAGGUAAGUGUGUCAGCUAGGGGGCGGGGGUGGUUUUGUUGAUAUUGUUACUAGUUUGUUAAGUGUCCUUUUCUGAGCAUCUGUUUCAGUAUUUCUCAGGCUUUUUGUUUGUGCUACGUCUCUAAUACAUCUGACACCAUGAGAAUUUGCUGUAAGUUUAACUCCUGAGCCUCAAGUAGAUAAAAGGGCUGUGUUCUCUCAAGUCAGUGUCUAUAGCUGUGAAAUUGGUGUGGGAGCACAGAAAACACUUUGAGGUUCUCGUUGGUAGCUUUAGAGUGGAACGGGCAGCAUUUCCUAACACUCAGUUCUUAGGAUAGUGAGCUUUUAAAGUAGAAGGUAGGGUGCUUUCUAAUUUUAAUUAUUUGAUCCAAAUGUGUAAAACGGUAGCUCUAGACUGGUGAAGCAUUUGGGACACAGUUGGACAUUUUAAAAGCCAUUUCUCAAGCUUUAAGGCAUUUAGCACAGCCUUUGCAGUGCUCAGCAGAGGCGCGAAUGCAAGCAGAGGCGCGGCCAUGAGGUCGGUGUCCGACGCUGGCCGUGGCUGGAGAGAUGCAGUAAUACUUGUGGAGUGUGAGCGGCAGUGGAUAGGACACGUGACGUGCACGGUGCCUUGGGAGAGCAUGGGCUGGUCCUGCAGGACUCUGCAUUUCACUGUGACUGUGCAGCACAUUUUAGGCUGUGUUUGAAUGUCUCACAAGUUACUGUUAAGUGUCAAAUGCAAGAAUCCAAGAAGGAGCUGAGCCUUUCAUUUUACAUGUUGUUUGAAAUUAGGACAAGAGACAAUUCACUUCUGUUGUGUAAAUAGUAAUUUUUUUUUCAGUUCAGCAAAUAGGGCAAAACAGUGAAACCAUUAACUUCUAGUUUUUGAAAACUAUUUUUUUAUAUUUACUGAUAAGUUUUAAAUCUUAUGGUAGUUGUAAAAAUGAGUAUUGACUUACUAGACUUAUGUAUAAUUCAAAUAAUCUGUUGGCUUCAAUGAAACCGUAAUGAAUCUUCAUGAAUGUUCAUGUAUUUAGCUAUUUUAAGUGAUAUUCUCUUAAUUUGGAUAGUCUUAGGUCAGGCCAGUAGAGAUGAUGCCCACCUGUAAUCCCAGCACUUGGGAGGCAGAGGCAGGAGAGUCUCUGAGUUUGAGGCCAGCCUGGUCUACAGAGUGAGUUCCAGGACAGCCAGGGCUACAUAGAGAAACCCUGUCUGGAGGCAGGGGUUGGGGGUGGGGUUGGGGGGGUGUUGUGGGUGGAAAAUGGGCGGGGGUAAGUUUAACAAAAUUGAAGCAUAGUUUGGGUGCAAAAGUGAAUAAAAUUUGGAUAUUUUUAUGCACUGUGUCUUUGGUUUGUAGUAGUUUACACUCUGCUGUAAAGACCUGAUGUUCCUAAACAGUGUAGUUUUCAAACAGUUUAAUUCUAGGUAUGUCUGGGAAAGUUGUAAACAUGCAGAGUCAUAGAAGCUACAAAAAGCUGGUACAUGAAUUUUGGUGAAAUUGCUUCAUUAAUGAUACAAUAUUCAGUGAAAAACCUAGGCUUCAGAAUAAGUAGAUUUGUAAACUGUUUCUUCAUUAAUUGGUUUUGUCUUAUAUAAAAUGAUUUAACAUAGAAUCUCUGCCAGACUUAUAACGACGCUUUAUAUUUUAUUGGGAGAAAGAUGUAAGCAAAUCCUUUACAUGAUUAUGUCUAUGAUAAUAGGAAAGUAUUUGCUUUACUGUAGUUAUUAGUCAAACAUUUAGGGAAACCAAAGAGGAACCCCCAAAAUAGCUCGUUGGGUUUACUGUAGUGUGACAACAUCCUUUAGUGCUACAUUUAUUUAGUGAGCCCCUCCCCCAAGUUUGGUGUUUAUGAAUAAUUGGAACUGCUUUUCACCUACAUCGAUGUAACUCAUAAAUUUCUAGUGACUCGGGUCUGUGAAUUAGUGAUGCUGGAGCACCCACCGCCCUUCCAAAGAUGUGGGGUGACCCGACACCUGUGCUGUAACAUCUAACAGCUUUUCAGUGUGAUGCACACUAGUUUAGGAGCUAAAACCAUACUGUAAAGAAUGCACUGACAGUGAUGGAAGGCCACCCACGCUGGCUUUCUGUCGAAUACUGUGAGCUUUGCUCUAACUCUGUCUGUAAGGAAUUACCCAUAAACUGGGCUGCUUGGGCACAGUUACUGCUCUGCCUUUGGUUCUGUUCUGUUUAAAGUCAUUGCUGUUACUGGUUAUUACUCUGGACCAGAAAGGCUAGGAAUGUAUAGGAUAAACAUGAGAAGUUGUUCGCAUUCAUAGAAAUAUAAAAGGUAGAAUUUAUUCAGAGAUGAAAGUGGCCUGUGGGAAUGUCACCUUUAUCUCAGGUCGGCUUGGCUCUUAAGCUGCAGUACAGUGGUGGGCAGGAGAUAAAAAUCCGACCUGUAACGUGCAGUGGUUCUUAGGCUUGAGCCAGAACCAGGCAGAAUGUCCAGCAGAGUGUCCUAUUGCCCCUCCCUCUCAGGCAGGAGAGUCCUCAGCUACGUAACUAUGUUGUCAUCUUUCCAUGGAGCAGAAAGUCUGUGUUUCGACACUCCUGAUGUGCUAUGAAACUGCUUGCUAUCUCCUAGGUUUAGACUUCUUGAAACUUUUUUUCCUGUUUUCAGUAGAGAAACUUCUGUUUAUGCUGUAUGUGAAGACAACCAAAUAAAAAUUGAUGAU
RNAcentral lists this long non-coding RNA (3509 nucleotides) under Mus musculus (house mouse). RNAcentral's name for it is "long non-coding RNA chr18:44421451-44424960". Lineage: Eukaryota; Metazoa; Chordata; Mammalia; Rodentia; Muridae. The record is from RNAcentral.